GACGAACGCUGGCGGCGUGCUUAACACAUGCAAGUCGAACGGAAAGGCCCUGCUUUUGUGGGGUGCUCGAGUGGCGAACGGGUGAGUAACACGUGAGUAACCUGCCCUUGACUUUGGGAUAACUCCAGGAAACUGGGGCUAAUACCGGAUAGGAGCUCCUGCUGCAUGGUGGGGGUGAGAAAGUUUCGGCGGUUGGGGAUGGACUCGCGGCUUAUCAGCUUGUUGGUGGGGUAGUGGCUUACCAAGGCUUUGACGGGUAGCCGGCCUGAGAGGGUGAACGGCCACAUUGGGACUGAGAUACGGCCCAGACUCCUACGGGAGGCAGCAGUGGGGAAUAUUGCACAAUGGGCGGAAGCCUGAUGCAGCGACGCCGCGUGCGGGAUGACGGCCUUCGGGUUGUAAACCGCUUUCGCCUGUGACGAAGCGUGAGUGACGGUAAUGGGUAAAGAAGCACCGGCUAACUACGUG
Molecule: ribosomal RNA, 468 nt
Filed under: uncultured bacterium
Lineage: Bacteria
Description: partial 16S ribosomal RNA
Rfam family: Bacterial small subunit ribosomal RNA
Source: RNAcentral